GCCUGGUGGCGAGUGGCGAACGGGUGAGUAAUACAUCGGAACGUACCCAGAAGUGGGGGAUAACGUAGCGAAAGUUACGCUUAAUACCGCAUACGUUCUACGGAAGAAAGUGGGGGAUCGCAAGACCUCAUGCUUUUGGAGCGGCCGAUGUCUGAUUAGCUAGUUGGUGAGGUAAAGGCUCACCAAGGCGACGAUCAGUAGCUGGUCUAGAGAGGACGCCAAGCCACACUGGAACUAAGACACGGUCCAGACUCCUACGGGAGGCAGCAGUGGGGAAUUUUGGACAAUGGGCGCAAGCCUGAUCCAGCAAUGCCGCGUGAGUGAAGAAGGCCUUCGGGUUGUAGAGCUCUUUUGUGAGGGAAGCAACGGCAGUGGCUAAUAUCCUUUGCUAAGACGG
Molecule: ribosomal RNA, 397 nt
Filed under: uncultured bacterium
Lineage: Bacteria
Description: bacterial SSU rRNA
Rfam family: Bacterial small subunit ribosomal RNA
Source: RNAcentral